GAGGAAGACGCCUCCCGCAGAGUAGCUCCGGCAUCUUCUUCCUUCCUCUUCGCCUCUCCGUGAGUAAAAGAAGCGGCCCCCGACCUAACCUUUCUGGUUCCGGGUAGAUGGGUUCCAUGGCGGCGCCGGUGGAGAAGGAGAUCAUCUUCCGCUCCAAGCUCCCCGAUAUAGAAAUCCCCAAUCAUCUCCCUCUCCACUCCUACUGCUUUCAGAACAUCGCCGCCGUCGCCGACAAGCCCUGUAUAAUCUACGGCCCCACCGGAAGAAUCUACACCUACGCGGAGGUGGAGCUCACCGCCCGGCGAGUCGCCGCCGGCCUCCAUGGCCUGGGUAUCCGCCAGGGGGACGUGAUCAUGGUGCUCCUCCCCAACUCACCGGAGUUCGUCUUCGCCUUCCUCGGGGCCUCCUUCCGGGGCGCCGCCACCACCACCGCCAACCCAUUCUACACUGCCGCAGAGAUCCACAAGCAGGCCGUCGCCGCCGGCGCCAGGCUCGUCGUGACUCAGUCCUGCCACGUGGAGAAGGUCCGCGGCCUGGAAGGGGUGAAGAUCGUCUGCACCGACUCGCCGGUGCCGGAAGGGUGCACCCACUUCUCCGAGCUCACCUCCGCCGACGAGACGGCUGCGCCGCCGGUGGAUCCCCAACCGGACGACGUGGUGGCGCUGCCCUUCUCCUCCGGCACCACGGGGCUCCCCAAGGGGGUGAUGCUCACCCACCGGGGCCUGGUCACCAGCGUGGCCCAGCAGGUGGACG
This 753-nucleotide long non-coding RNA is filed under the name Spirodela polyrhiza (greater duckweed). RNAcentral describes it as "long non-coding RNA (SPOL_LNC000441)". Lineage: Eukaryota; Viridiplantae; Streptophyta; Magnoliopsida; Alismatales; Araceae. The record is from RNAcentral.